Molecule: ribosomal RNA, 497 nt
Filed under: uncultured bacterium
Lineage: Bacteria
Description: partial 16S ribosomal RNA
Rfam family: Bacterial small subunit ribosomal RNA
Source: RNAcentral
GAUGAACGCUGGCGGCGUGCCUAAUACAUGCAAGUCGAGCGAACAGACGAGGAGCUUGCUCCUCUGACGUUAGCGGCGGACGGGUGAGUAACACGGGGAUAAACUACCUAUAAGACUGGGAUAACUUCGGGAAACCGGAGCUAAUACCGGAUAAUAUAUUGAACCGCAUGGUUCAAUAGUGAAAGACGGUUUUGCUGUCACUUAUAGAUGGAUCCGCGCCGCAUUAGCUAGUUGGUAAGGUAACGGCUUACCAAGGCAACGAUGCGUAGCCGACCUGAGAGGGUGAUCGGCCACACUGGAACUGAGACACGGUCCAGACUCCUACGGGAGGCAGCAGUAGGGAAUCUUACGCAAUGGGCGAAAGCCUGACGGAGCAACGCCGCGUGAGUGAUGAAGGUCUUCGGAUCGUAAAACUCUGUUAUUAGGGAAGAACAAAUGUGUAAGUACCUAUGCACGUCUUGACGGUACCUAAUCAGAAAGCCACGGCUAACUACGUG